CCUACGGGAGGCAGCAGUGAGGAAUAUUGGUCAAUGGCAGAGAGGCUGAACCAGCCAAGUCGCGUGAGGGAAGACGGCCCUACGGGUUGUAAACCUCUUGUGUCGGGGAGCAAAGCGAACCACGUGGGGUUCAUUGAGCGUACCCGUAGAAAAAGCAUCGGCCAACUCCGUGCCAGCAGCCGCGGUAAUACGGAGGAUGCGAGCGUUAUCCGGAUGUAUUGGGUUUAACGGGUGCGCAGGCGGAGGUGCAAGUCAGCGGUCAAAUGGCGGGGCUCAACCCCGUACUGCCGUUGAAACUGCAGCCCUUGAGUGCGCGAGAGGUAGGCGGAAUGCGUGGUGUAGCGGUGAAAUGCAUAGAUAUCACGCAGAACUCCGAUUGCGAAGGCAGCAUACCGGCGCGCAACUGACGCUCAUGCACGAAAGCGUGGGUAUCGAACAGGAUUAGAUACCCUGGUAGUC
This 459-nucleotide ribosomal RNA is filed under the name uncultured bacterium. Its description in RNAcentral is "partial 16S ribosomal RNA". It matches the Rfam family "Bacterial small subunit ribosomal RNA", at positions 338 to 795 of the family's 1533-position model. The record is from RNAcentral.